RNAcentral lists this ribosomal RNA (796 nucleotides) under Acinetobacter rhizosphaerae. RNAcentral's name for it is "bacterial SSU rRNA". It matches the Rfam family "Bacterial small subunit ribosomal RNA", at positions 25 to 815 of the family's 1533-position model. Lineage: Bacteria; Pseudomonadati; Pseudomonadota; Gammaproteobacteria; Moraxellales; Moraxellaceae. The record is from RNAcentral.
CAGAUUGAACGCUGGCGGCAGGCUUAACACAUGCAAGUCGAGCGGGGUGAUGGUGCUUGCACUAUCACUUAGCGGCGGACGGGUGAGUAAUGCUUAGGAAUCUGCCUAUUAGUGGGGGACAACAUUUCGAAAGGAAUGCUAAUACCGCAUACGUCCUACGGGAGAAAGCAGGGGAUCUUCGGACCUUGCGCUAAUAGAUGAGCCUAAGUCGGAUUAGCUAGUUGGUGGGGUAAAGGCCUACCAAGGCGACGAUCUGUAGCGGGUCUGAGAGGAUGAUCCGCCACACUGGGACUGAGACACGGCCCAGACUCCUACGGGAGGCAGCAGUGGGGAAUAUUGGACAAUGGGCGCAAGCCUGAUCCAGCCAUGCCGCGUGUGUGAAGAAGGCCUUAUGGUUGUAAAGCACUUUAAGCGAGGAGGAGGCUACUUUAGUUAAUACCUAGAGAUAGUGGACGUUACUCGCAGAAUAAGCACCGGCUAACUCUGUGCCAGCAGCCGCGGUAAUACAGAGGGUGCAAGCGUUAAUCGGAUUUACUGGGCGUAAAGCGCGCGUAGGCGGCUAAUUAAGUCAAAUGUGAAAUCCCCGAGCUUAACUUGGGAAUUGCAUUCGAUACUGGUUAGCUAGAGUGUGGGAGAGGAUGGUAGAAUUCCAGGUGUAGCGGUGAAAUGCGUAGAGAUCUGGAGGAAUACCGAUGGCGAAGGCAGCCAUCUGGCCUAACACUGACGCUGAGGUGCGAAAGCAUGGGGAGCAAACAGGAUUAGAUACCCUGGUAGUCCAUGCCGUAAACGAUGUCUA